This 85-nucleotide microRNA precursor is filed under the name Paramuricea clavata. The record is from RNAcentral. Lineage: Eukaryota; Metazoa; Cnidaria; Anthozoa; Malacalcyonacea; Plexauridae.
AGGUGGGUUUUAGAACACACCUUAAGGUGUGUUUAACACACCUUAAGGUGUGUUAAACACACCUUAAGUUGUGUUACAAAACACG